RNAcentral lists this ribosomal RNA (460 nucleotides) under uncultured bacterium. RNAcentral describes it as "partial 16S ribosomal RNA". It matches the Rfam family "Bacterial small subunit ribosomal RNA", at positions 338 to 795 of the family's 1533-position model. The record is from RNAcentral.
CCUACGGGAGGCAGCAGUGAGGAAUAUUGGUCAAUGGCCGUAAGGCUGAACCAGCCAAGUUGCGUGAAGGAAGAAGGAUCUAUGGUUUGUAAACUUCUUUUAUAGGGGAAUAAAGGUAUCCACGUGUGGAUAUUUGCAUGUACCCUAUGAAUAAGCAUCGGCUAACUCCGUGCCAGCAGCCGCGGUAAUACGGAGGAUGCGAGCGUUAUCCGGAUUUAUUGGGUUUAAAGGGUGCGUAGGUGGUUUUUUAAGUCAGCGGUGAAAGUUUGUGGCUCAACCAUAAAAUUGCCGUUGAAACUGGCAGACUUGAGUGUGGUAGAGGUAGGCGGAAUGCGUGGUGUAGCGGUGAAAUGCAUAGAUAUCACGAAGAACUCCGAUUGCGAAGGCAGCUUACUAGACCAUAACUGACACUGAGGCACGAAAGCGUGGGGAUCAAACAGGAUUAGAUACCCUUGUAGUC